GACGAACGCUGGCGGCGUGCUUAACACAUGCAAGUCGAACGGAAAGGCCUGCUUUCCCUUGUGGAUUGCGGGUACUCGAGUGGCGAACGGGUGAGUAACACGUGAGUGAUCUGCCCCCAACUUGGGUAUAAGCCUGGGAAACUGGGUCUAAUUCCCGAUAGGACUGCAGGGUGGUGCCUGUGGUGGAAAACGAUUUUCUAGUGGUUGGGGAUGAGCUCGCGGCCUAUCAGCUUGUUGGUGGGGUAAUGGCCCACCAAGGCGGCGACGGGUAGCCGGCCUGAGAGGGUGGACGGCCACAUUGGGACUGAGAUACGGCCCAGACUCCUACGGGAGGCAGCAGUGGGGAAUAUUGCACAAUGGGCGGAAGCCUGAUGCAGCGACGCCGCGUGGGGGAUGACGGCCUUCGGGUUGUAAACUCCUUUCGACCGCGAGGAAGCCACCUGGUUGGAAGGGUGGUGACGGUAGUGGUAGAAGAAGCACCGGCUAACUACGUG
This 494-nucleotide ribosomal RNA is filed under the name uncultured bacterium. RNAcentral's name for it is "partial 16S ribosomal RNA". It matches the Rfam family "Bacterial small subunit ribosomal RNA", at positions 28 to 507 of the family's 1533-position model. The record is from RNAcentral.